This 497-nucleotide ribosomal RNA is filed under the name uncultured bacterium. RNAcentral's name for it is "partial 16S ribosomal RNA". It matches the Rfam family "Bacterial small subunit ribosomal RNA", at positions 28 to 507 of the family's 1533-position model. The record is from RNAcentral.
GAUGAACGCUGGCGGCGUGCCUAAUACAUGCAAGUCGAGCGAACGGAUGAGUAGCUUGUUUCUCUGAUGUUAGCGGCGGACGGGUGCGUAACACGUGGAUAACCUCCCUAUACGCCUUAGAUAACUUCGGGAAACCGGAGCUAAUACCGGUUAAUCUUUUGCUUCGCAUGGUUCAUCAGUGUAAGACGAUCUUGCUGUCACUUAUAGAUGGAUCCGCGCUGCAUUAGCUAGUUGGUAAGGUAACGGCUUACCAAGGCAACGAUGCAUAGCCGACCUGUGAGGGGGGGCAGCCACACUGGAACGGAGACACGGUCCAGACUCCUACGGGAGGCAGCAGUAGGGAAUCUUCCGCAAGGGGCGAAAGCCAGACGUAGCAACGCCGCGUGAGGGAUGAAGGUCUUCGGAUCGGAAAACUCUGUUAUUAGGGAAGAACAUAUGUGUAAGUAACGGUGCACAUCUUGACGGUACCAAAUCAGAAAGCCACGGCUAACUACGUG